CCUACGGGUGGCAACAGUGAGGAAUAUUGGUCAAUGGACGAGAGUCUGAACCAGCCAAGUAGCGUGAAGGAUGACUGCCCUAUGGGUUGUAAACUUCUUUUAUAUGGGAAUAAAAUGUUCCACGUGUGGGAUUUUGUAUGUACCAUAUGAAUAAGGAUCGGCUAACUCCGUGCCAGCAGCCGCGGUAAUACGGAGGAUCCGAGCGUUAUCCGGAUUUAUUGGGUUUAAAGGGAGCGUAGGUGGAGUGUUAAGUCAGUUGUGAAAGUUUGCGGCUCAACCGUAAAAUUGCAGUUGAAACUGGCAGUCUUGAGUACAGUAGAGGUGGGCGGAAUUCGUGGUGUAGCGGUGAAAUGCUUAGAUAUCACGAAGAACUCCGAUUGCGAAGGCAGUUCACUGGACUGCAACUGACACUGAGGCUCGAAAGUGUGGGUAUCAAACAGGAUUAGAUACCCUAGUAGUC
Molecule: ribosomal RNA, 460 nt
Filed under: uncultured bacterium
Lineage: Bacteria
Description: partial 16S ribosomal RNA
Rfam family: Bacterial small subunit ribosomal RNA
Source: RNAcentral